AUUUUACAAGCCGUUAUUUUAAAGGAUUGCUUUAACAAUUCCGUUCAAACAUGCUUGUAAUUUAAUGUUACAUUUAUGAUUUAAUAUUAUUUCUUUACAGGAAACCGUUUACCUCAACCAGAGUUAUAUUUCAUAGAAUUAUGCUGACCAUGAUCCAAAUAUUGCCAUGGAUGUGCACUUGUGUCUUAGGCUUAUGCUUUGCAAAAGGUUCACCAUCGCCCUUAAGUUGCUGUGGGUUUUACGGUUUUACUUCCAACCUGGCAUAUAAAUGCACUUAGUAUAUGAAGUUAUUUGUCAAUAACUGGUGAUCAGACUUUCAAACGAACACGUUUUUAAGGGCUGAGAAGGUGAAAGUUAGAAGUCUGCAGACUGUAACGUAAAUAAAUUUUCAACACAUGGUUUUCUGAAUAUAUUUAGUUUUCGAUUGAAAUGAGAAUAAACUGAACUUAUAGAUAUGUUGAAAAUUAACUAUUUUAUAUUUUAAACGUUCGCUAAACGCAAGUGAAGCAAUAAUCUAUAGAUGCAAAUAAACUUUAUAUUUUGUUUUAGUUUAA
Hydra vulgaris (swiftwater hydra) is the source of this 554-nucleotide non-coding RNA. The record is from RefSeq and is a predicted model, not a curated record. NCBI's taxonomy places the organism in Eukaryota, Metazoa, Cnidaria, Hydrozoa, Anthoathecata, Hydridae.